Molecule: long non-coding RNA, 2455 nt
Organism: Papaver somniferum (opium poppy)
Lineage: Eukaryota; Viridiplantae; Streptophyta; Magnoliopsida; Ranunculales; Papaveraceae
Exons: 6
Source: RefSeq, a predicted model, not a curated record
UAUCGUCCAACCACCAUAAAAAACAAAAAAAUUGUGUCUCUCCUUUCCCAUGGGAAGAAAAUACCUAAUUUUAAACUUCAAUUAUUCAUCUCCUACUCGAUUGUUCCAACCCUACGAGAGAAUCAUUCCUACCUUCUAUCAAUCAUUCGCUUUAAAAAUCCUAAAUCGUGUUAACCAACUAAACCCUAAAUACCAUCAAAAUUAAAUCAAAACCGAACCAAUUGUUUUGAGUUUUCUCCUGAUUCUUUUUUCUUGUUCUUCUUCUUCAGCGAAACCUGGAUGAUGAUUAGUCCUGUUACAAACCCUAGAUACUAAAAUUUCAUAGGGUAAGGGAUAUCUCCUAAUUUGUUUCCUUCUCUUAUAAAUCUAAAAUUCUUCUAAUUUAUGUCUGAGUCUGGCUGUUAUAUUUCUUGUUCAUUAUGAUUUUGUAAUUCAAUUUUGAAAUUUAACCUAUCUUAGUUUGAUUUUUCCUCAUUUAUGGACAUGGAUUUCGUAAUUGCAUGAAUUGAUGAUUAUAUACGGAAGAAGAGGAAAAGGAAAAAUAUGAGAGAAUAAGAUCGAUAGAAGUGGUGGUGGUGGUUUUUAAACUUCAUCAGAAAAAGAUGAACAUCCUAAAGAUUGGUAGGAUGGAGUUAUCUAGAAGGACUAUUAAAAUUGGUAUUGGUUUUGGUUUUCGUUUAUGUUAUUAUACAUCUGCAUUAUGUAUUCAUGGAUUAUUGACCUACUGUUAUGGUUUAUGUAAUAUCAAUGAUCUUGUUUGUUGUGUUAUUUUGAUUUUGUUUCAUAUUGAUAGAAUAUAGACACAGCUAUACUGUGUAACCAAAUUGGAAUCUCCUGAGGUUAAUAUAAAAUAUUUUUGUUCCGUGAAGUUGAUGAAACUGCAGUGUUGCAUCAUAUUCAGAUUAAAGCUUUAUCUUUGAAGUAACUUCGUGCGAACUAUAAGAAUGUUCUGGGCUUCUGGCAAUACAGUCUUUACUUUCGUAAGUUUCUUAGGCAGCUGUAGCUUUUAUACAAGGCUUAAAUUUUGGGUAUAUAUAUUUUAGAGCUCUUCUUAUCUUUUUUUGAUCAGCUUUAGAGCUCUUCUUAUCAAGAGGAUUAUAUCUUUCCAUUUUCUAUGAUUGAUCUGAAUUUCUGUAUUCCUUUAAUAACCUCGUAUUAUUUAUGGAUAAACCCAAGACUUUUGAUUGAUGAAUUGAUCCAGUCAGGUGUAGUUCCUCGUUUUGUUCAGUUUCUUCAGAGGGAGGACUUUCCACAACUUCAAGUGGAUAGAUACUUGCUCUGAAAUUGAGUUAGGUUUUCCCCUUCUUUAUAUUUGAAUACAAUUAAUUAAGUAAAUAACGAUUUAGUGAAACAUUUUAGCUUUCUCCUUCUUUUGUAUGCACUGAUUUAUCAUGAUUUUGAUUUUUGAACAGUUUGACGUGGCUCUGGCUCUAAUGAACAUUGCUUCUGGAACCUCAGAGAAAACCUAAGUGAUCAUUGAGCAGGGAGCUAUCCCAAUCUUUUUGGCGCUUCUCAGUUCCCCCAGUGAUGAUGUUCGAGACCAGACAAAGCCUGCACUCCCUUCUAUUAAGCGUCUUAUUAACUCCACUGAUGAAGAAGUACUUACAGACUCGUGUUGGGCCCUUUCUUAUCUGACGGUACAAAUGAAACCAAGUUGUUAUUGAGGUUGGUGCAUGUCGCCGACUUGUUGAGUUACUGCUUCACCCAUCUCCUACUGUACUCAUUCAAUAUUGUUACUGGAGAUGAUCGUCAGCCCCAGUGUAUCAUUGAACUUUAAGCACUUCCCUGCCUCAUGAACCUGUUGACACAACCAAUAAAAAAGUAUAAAGAAAGAAGCUUGCUGGACUAUAACUUAGGAUGUUUUGUGUUGUAUAAACAUCCUACAAAACUACUACAAGAUUGAAUCCUCAACCACUGCACUUGACAAGAACCUGGGAUUACCCACCUCUAUCUCGUCGGUUGGAAAGAGCAUCCAGGACAUAGCCUUAAAAUAUAUGGGCAGUAAUGUUUGAGAUAGUCCAUCUUCUCAAAUUUAUAUACAUCUAGUGCUUGGUAGAAAAAGGGGAGUUUCUCCUAUUUUUACUUAAAAAUGUCGACGUGUAUCCAUCUUCUCUUCAGUCUGCAACAAAUUCAUUCCCUACUGAUAUUAUAAGACUGGAUGAAGAUAUCAUGUCACCUCUUGCUGGGAGGAGAAGUAACUUCAUACUUAUGAGAGGUUAUAUUUCUGGAAACACAUCCAAACUCCUGGAUAGACCAAUCUGCAAGUGAAGGAAUGUUAUGUCAUCCAUCUGUUUGUCAUUUUAAUUUUAUUUUUAACCUUCAACUAUGUCAUUUGUUGGAAACUCAGCACUAGACUUGAAUUUCUGCGGUGUUAAGAUUUUCUGUGUUGCUUGAAUGUAAUAAAUUUAGACCUUGUAAAUCUUUUUUGAAUGAAUAAAUGAUGUUGUUGGAAAGA